UGAGACAGGGUUUCUCUGUGUAGCCCUGGCUGUCCUGGACUCACUUUGUAGACCAGGCUGGCCUUGAACUCACAGAGAUCCUCCUGCCUCUGCCUCCCGAUUGCUGGGAUUAAAGGCAUGCACCACCACACCUGGC
RNAcentral lists this small RNA (136 nucleotides) under Brugia malayi. RNAcentral's name for it is "RNA transcript Bm16786". Lineage: Eukaryota; Metazoa; Nematoda; Chromadorea; Rhabditida; Onchocercidae. The record is from RNAcentral.